GAGGGAGGGCCCGGCGCCGGGUGAUGAUGGGGCCCAGAGAUGCGUCCAGAGAGAGGGGCGGAGCUGGGAAGCAAGCUUGGGAAGGCCACAACUCCGGAAGAGAGAGGGCUGCUGGAGGCCAAGAGGAGCAGGGUGGAGAGGAGACAGAGGGCCAGGUUGGGCUCCUGAGCCUGAAGACUGCCCAGAGAAGCCGGCUAGGCCUCAGGAAACCUCGGAGCAAAUUCAGCAUUUCCAGAAGGUCUCUGAUGUUCCACGCACUUGUUGAAUUUUUCCAGCCUUAGAGUGGAUGCCUGAAUUAGAGGAGCAGUUCAUUCCAGUGGGAGCUGCCUGCCAGGUGCCUCGCCCUGUGGUACUGGCAGACAUGACAUAGACACCGGACACUUCACUUCCUCUUUUCUCCAGGAACUUUAACCCAGUAGUCGCUUCAGAGGCUGGGGCUUUAACCAGGCAUCAAGACUUGGAUCGCAAGUAGUUUCUGCAGGUAACUUUUCUUCACCUUUUUUCUUUUCUUUUCUUUUUUUGUAAUCAGAUUGGUUUUCUUUUUACUUCUCUUUACUCAACACGUGAACUUAUUAUGACAAGUUCAAACAAUAUAAAGGUAUAAGGGGAAAAAAAUACGAGUCCUCAAUCUCCCUCCUUCUACCCUUUGCACAAAUCCACCUCCCUUCCUGGAGGUUACCAAUGUCAAGGUUGCUGUUUACCCUUUCAGAUAGAUAGAUAGAUAGAUAGAUAGAUAGAUAGACCUAUUAUUUAUACAUGGCAAUAUAUGUAUACAAAACAGUUCACAGGAUAUGAAGCAGUCUGACCACAGGUGAUCCUCAGGAGGGCCCUUGAGCAUUCUGACUGGGCCCCUGGGCCCCGCUGGCUCUUGCAGCUGGCAUUUCCUUAGGCUCCAUUUAGAGGGAUCUCUAGCCAGAGGCUAGAAAGAGGCAACCCAAUUCUCCUUUCCUGCUGGUUCCCUUUGCUUCUACCUCCAGUUCAAGUCUUGAUAUUCCUACCUGCCCCUACAGUCACUGGAGAAGAAAGGUCAUAUCUGUAACAAUGAUCGUAACAACUAAUACAUUUUGAGGACUUAUUAGGUGCUAAUAUAGCUAAUAGCUAAUAGCUAAUUAGGUGCUUUCUUUUUGUGCAUGAUAUUUUAUCCUCACGCCAAUCCCUAUGCUGUUUUAUCCCCAUUCUGUGGGUGAAGAAAGUGAGGCUUGGAGAGGUUAAUUUACCCAAAGCCAUAUACUUAGAAAUUGUACUCAAUUUUGUCUGACUUUAAUGUUUAUUUAUUUGUGUGUGUGUGUGUGUGUGAGAGAGAGAGAGAGAGAGCACGAGCAGGAGAGGGGCAGAGACAAAGGGAAAUACGGAAUCCCAAGCAGGCUCCAGGAUCCAGCUGUCAGCAUAGAGUUGGACACAAGGCUCGAACCCACAAACCACGAGAUUAUGACCUGAGCUGAAGUCAGACACUUAAUCAAUUGAGCCACCUAGGUGCCCCUCAAUUUUGUCUCACUUUCAAGUUUGUCUUAACCUUACCUAUAUUGCUGUAACGUCAUCUCUUCUGCUUCAGGUAAUCAAUGUUGUUUUAACACCAUUUACAAGUCUAAACUCAGUUAUCCCUUCCAUUCUGAAUGUACAGCAGAUUCCACACCUUUAUGACUGUAUCCUUUCAACCAUCCUUUCUUCUUUGUUCUUAGGCUGAUCAUUCCAGCUGCCACCAGCAAG
This 1707-nucleotide long non-coding RNA is filed under the name Lynx pardinus (Iberian lynx). The record is from RNAcentral. Lineage: Eukaryota; Metazoa; Chordata; Mammalia; Carnivora; Felidae.